Molecule: ribosomal RNA, 473 nt
Filed under: uncultured bacterium
Lineage: Bacteria
Description: bacterial SSU rRNA
Rfam family: Bacterial small subunit ribosomal RNA
Source: RNAcentral
UGGGGAAUUUUUCGCAAUGGGGGAAACCCUGACGAAGCAACGCCGCGUGGAGGAUGAAGGCCUUCGGGUCGUAAACUCCUGUCGACUGGGACGAAAGUAGUCCGACCCAAUACGUCGGGCUAUCGACUGUACCGGUGGAGGAAGCCACGGCUAACUCUGUGCCAGCAGCCGCGGUAAUACAGAGGUGGCAAGCGUUGUUCGGAAUUACUGGGCGUAAAGGGCGCGUAGGCGGUCGAUUAAGUCCCGUGUGAAAUCCCUCGGCUCAACUGAGGAACUGCACGGGAAACUGGCUGACUUGAGUUCGGGAGAGGGAAGCGGAAUUCCGGGUGUAGCGGUGAAAUGCGUAGAUAUCCGGAGGAACACCGGUGGCGAAGGCGGCUUCCUGGACCGAUACUGACGCUGAGGCGCGAAAGCUAGGGGAGCAAACGGGAUUAGAUACCCUGGUAGUCCCUGAGCGGGCUGGCAAGGCGCAU